GCCUACGGGCGGCUGCAGUGGGGAAUCUUGCACAAUGGGGGCAACCCUGAUGCAGCGACGCCGCGUGAGCGAUGAAGCCCUUCGGGGUGUAAAGCUCUUUCGGCCGGAACGAUGAUGACGGUACCGGCAGAAGAAGCUGCGGCUAACUACGUGCCAGCAGCCGCGGUAAUACGUAGGCAGCGAGCGUUGUUCGGAGUUACUGGGCGUAAAGAGUGCGUAGGCGGUGCUCUAAGUUUGGUGUGAAAUCUCCCGGCUCAACUGGGAGGGUGCGCCGAAAACUGGAGUGCUCGAGUGUGGGAGAGGUAAGCGGAAUUCCUGGUGUAGCGGUGAAAUGCGUAGAUAUCAGGAGGAACACCUGCGGUGUAGACGGCUUACUGGACCAUGACUGACGCUGAGGCACGAAAGCGUGGGGAGCAAACAGGAUUAGAUACCCUUGUAGUC
Molecule: ribosomal RNA, 441 nt
Filed under: uncultured Bryobacterales bacterium
Lineage: Bacteria; Pseudomonadati; Acidobacteriota; Terriglobia; Bryobacterales
Description: bacterial SSU rRNA
Rfam family: Bacterial small subunit ribosomal RNA
Source: RNAcentral